CACAUUUUCACCUCGUCCAAUCCGCAGGCUGCUUCACAAUAAGAGUUGACUGCCCGCUGUACGGAUGUCAGUUUCACUUCAUCAGCCGCUACAGCUCUGCUUGUUAAAAUUCCUCCACACCCACUGCCGACCGGACUCAUCGGUGAUGUAAGAAGUGUGACCAAUUCCAUCUGCGUUCACAUUGAUGCAUUCCUAGCCAAAGGCAGUUAGAGAAGAUAAGACAGUCUGUGAGACUUUAUGGCCUUACAGGACCAUGUGACGGAUCUCAAGGCUUAGUUUAUUUUUAGAUGUUAAGAAGCAUUUGUUUCUCUGGCCUUUACAACAAGUCACAAAGUCAGUACAACUUGUACAUCAUGAUGCGGAUCUUUUAAAGGCCUACUGUGUGCACAGACCACGUGGCUGUGCGUAGAUGUUGACUACUUUGAUGGUUCUCUCCUUUUGACCAGCUGAGAGAACAUAACCACUUAUGGGCAAAGGAUUGAAUUCAGGUCAAGCUGGGUGAGCUUCGUUUUCCCUCCAGAAGAUGGCGACCUCGUCUCACACUAGAUGUCAAUUAUCUGUCUCAAUUUUAGUUGUGUCUCUCAUCAUCUGCUGUCAUGGGCAUCAUCUGCUGUCAUGCACCAACCGCCAAUUCCAAUUCCUUGUAUGUCU
Long non-coding RNA from Gasterosteus aculeatus aculeatus (three-spined stickleback), 651 nucleotides. NCBI's taxonomy places the organism in Eukaryota, Metazoa, Chordata, Actinopteri, Perciformes, Gasterosteidae. The record is from Ensembl.